UGGUGGUAAGGCAGGCGACAAUGGGAAAGUUACUUCAGGUUCCGGAAAUGAUGGUGCCACACAAAGUGAUGAAAGCAGAAGUGAAGGUACAUCAGAUACAAAUGAUGAAAAUGAUAACAAUGAAUUUGCUGCAAACAAGAAGGGAAGCUUUGAUCAAAUGCUUGCAGAUGGAGCCAGUGCACAGAAUAAUCCUGCGAAAGAGAAUCACCCGACUUCUAUACAUGGAAAUCCUGUCACCAUGCCUGCAACUAACCUAAAUAUUG
RNAcentral lists this unclassified non-coding RNA (263 nucleotides) under Hevea brasiliensis (rubber tree). The record is from RNAcentral. Lineage: Eukaryota; Viridiplantae; Streptophyta; Magnoliopsida; Malpighiales; Euphorbiaceae.